Molecule: long non-coding RNA, 1293 nt
Organism: Sorghum bicolor (sorghum)
Lineage: Eukaryota; Viridiplantae; Streptophyta; Magnoliopsida; Poales; Poaceae
Exons: 3
Source: RefSeq, a predicted model, not a curated record
UUCCAACAGAAUAGCCAAAGGGAACACCUAUUUUGGGUAGAAGGGAAGAGGCAACCCAAAUAUGCGUUCUCUCCCUGUCUUCUCUCUCCUCGACCCAAAUGGAGUCCGGUGGCUGUCUUCUCUCUCCCAAUCCUCAUCCCCUUCCGCUGGGAUGCGCACCACACCUCCAUCUCCGCCAGACGCGAAAUAGACGACGGUCCGCAACGGGCUCGAAGCAGGAGAAGGCCUCCGCGAGCAUGGCGCCGUCGGCGUGCGGCGAGAGGCCGUGGACGAAGAGCCGACAGUGCGGGGCGAUGCGGUGGCUCCGCUUGGUCGUGGACAGCUCCUUUGGCUCCGCUGCCACCAUCGUUGGUGGGGCUCCCGGCGCAGCGCACCGGCCGCCGGAGUAAGCCUGCGAGCAGCUGCAGGGGCAGGGUCGGCAGGGCUCCCAUGCGCUCGACCGAGGCAGCAGCGGCGGAGCUUCUCUGUCCAAGGGAAACAAGAACUCCAGCCUAGUGUUGGGUGGGUCCAUGGCAGGAGCGGGGCGCGGCCAGCAUGGCAAGGCGGAUCCAUGGCAGGGAGUGGCGGGAGCAGGACGGCAUGCCCGUGGCAAGCAGUCGGAGCGGCGGCACGGUAGUUUUGGGAGAAGCUUUAGGCUUGUGAUCAUGAGUUGAUACCCGAAGUCUGGAUUUAUCUUCCGUUGUUUUUGCUGCCUAAGGUUAUCACUGAUUUACUAAGUAUUACAGAAUUGCUUGACAAGGAAGCUAGCAAAUAUCUGAGCAGCAUCAUUGAGAUAGCAAAGAGGGAUCUACUCUGUUGGCGGGCCUUGAUAAAGGCGCUGGCGUUGCCUAGGGUUCGCAAGGACUCAUAUAUAGUCUAUUGAUCAACUUCUCGCCCAAGAAUGUCACAUGUCAUUGAGGGCAUCGCUUAUGCAAGAGAGAGGUUGCAGCAGCCAAUCUCCAACUCUCCAUGCGGCUGUGCAGAGGAAAGCCGGGCGAAAUCAUGGUUAGCUUCCGGUCUACCUUGUUGAUGAUGGAACAGAAUCAAAAGGGACCAGCAGGCAACUUGCCAUUCAGCACUAGAGGGCCAAUAGGUAGCCCGCCAGUCAGCAGCUAGCACUGCAGCAGCCCCAUUGUUGGAACUGCAAAACAAUUUUAAUUUUCAUGGGAUUGUUUGUUGCUUUUGAGGAUGUCAGCAAGUUUGCAUCAACAUCAGUGAUAAAUUAUCUUCUGAACAAGGAUAUGAACUUUCAUUUGUCUUUCUCUGUUGCUAAAAGCAUACUAAAGGCGACGUCGCUUUGACUUUUUUUGGACA